UGCCAGACUCCUACGGGAGGCAGCAGUGGGGAAUCUUCCGCAAUGGGCGAAAGCCUGACGGAGCAACGCCGCAUGAUCGAAUGAAGGCCUUCGGGUUGUAAAGAUCUGUUGACAGGGACGAAUAAGCAAUGCGAAUAGUUUUGUGUAUGACGGUACCUGUUUAGAAAGCUCCGGCUAACUACGUGCCAGCAGCCGCGGUAAUACGGAGGAUGCGAGCGUUAUCCGGAUUUAUUGGGUUUAAAGGGUGCGUAGGCGGAAUGCCAAGUCAGCGGUAAAAUCGCGGGGCUCAACCUCGCUCCGCUGUUGAAACUGGCGUUCUUGAGUGGGCGAGAAGUAUGCGGAAUGCGUGGUGUAGCGGUGAAAUGCAUAGAUAUCACGCAGAACUCCGAUUGCGAAGGCAGCAUACCGGCGCCCAACUGACGCUGAAGCACGAAAGCGUGGGUAUCGAACAGGAUUAGAUACCCGUGUAA
Molecule: ribosomal RNA, 470 nt
Filed under: uncultured bacterium
Lineage: Bacteria
Description: bacterial SSU rRNA
Rfam family: Bacterial small subunit ribosomal RNA
Source: RNAcentral